Long non-coding RNA from Leptopilina boulardi, 2003 nucleotides. RefSeq lists it as uncharacterized. NCBI's taxonomy places the organism in Eukaryota, Metazoa, Arthropoda, Insecta, Hymenoptera, Figitidae. The transcript has 8 exons. The record is from RefSeq and is a predicted model, not a curated record.
AGUCGUGUACGUGAGGGACAAUGUGAAACGUGAUUAGCGUCAAUAUCAAAAUGACUAGAUUUUUGGAAAGGGAAGGUGAAGAAAGAACUGUCUCUUGAAGGUGAAAUCCGAAGGGAGAAAAACCAAUCAGGAUAAAUCGAACUCUGUUGAAACUCGAUGGCGUGACUGCUAAGAGAUUACUUCUUACUUUACUUAAUACCACUCAGUGGUGGCUUCCUUUGGAUUAUACAACUAUACUUAAUCUCCUCGCUAUUACGCGACAUUUUUUUUUCUUGUUGCGGUUUUGCAUUUUCAAGCAGAAUCAAUUUGCAAGUAUUGAAGCUGCUCAAAAUGGGAAAAUCAACAGAAUUCAAGGAAUUGAAAUCAGAAUUGCUUUUCAUAUUUGAACGUGAAGGAAAUACGGAGAUGAUUAUCGCAGGUACCACCGUUUAACGAUCUCAAAAAAAAGGGAUAUAUUCGAAGAGAAACAUAUAUAUACAGGAUGAUCCUCUCUUGAAGAUUAUGUUUGUUGAAGAGAGAAAGAGUUUUGUGUGUUUUCGUAUAUAUAACGACACUUCCAUCUCAUCCUCCUCUUGUAGGACGAUCGUGGCGCGCCUCGUGUUGGACUAUUUGCUACGUGACGAUCAAUGGAAUGGCGACACUUGGAUUUUUAGAAAUGGAUCAAAUUUGGAAUAAUAAGAAAUAACAAUUUUCGAAGGAAGGGGAAAUUUCAAAAAUUUACAUUUUUGAAAAUAUAAAAAGGGUGAAAUCUACAAUGAAGAAUGAAUUGGACAUUAACAGUGAAGUAUGUGCAUCUCGUUGUUUAAAAGUGGAUGCUGGUGGCAAUGGAUAUUUUCUUUCGAACCCCGUAAUUAGAUGGCCUCAAAAAAACCCAUCUUCGAGACUGCGGAAAUUCGUUAUUUAUAGUCUUGAAAAGGCGCCACCUACCUCAAUACGGAAAUUAUACUUCAAUGGAAAAGAAGUUCUGAAUCUUAAAUUUGACUUAAAAUCAUUGACUACACCAAAGUUGCGUGAGCUCCGGAACUGAAUAAAUUAUUCUAUCUUUAAUGAUCAACGUUUUACUCCAUCAUAUGGCGGAAAGAGAAUAGCUGCGUUCUAAAUUUGAAUUAAGAGGAAGCAAUAUGGGUUUAUUGAACCGGAGAAGGAAAAUUAUCAUAAUGAAAUUGUACCUAUUGAAUCAUCAUAUUUAUUAUAUGAAGUGCAAGUGGAAAAUUUGUGGAAUAAGAAACGAUAGAGAUCUGAAAAUGAUGAAUCUUUGGAAACUAUUCAUUUUUCCUCAAGCAAUAACACACGAUUCCAUUCUGCUAUGAAAGAAAUUCAUUUCCUGAUUAUGAUAAAAUUGGAAAAAUUAUACGAGAUGAUGCGACUAUGAAAAAUGUUUGAUCAACUGGAAAUUUGGUGGCAAAUAUUUUUUGCUAACUAUAGAAUUUGGAGGAAUUUUCAUGGUCUUGAAUCAUCAUUAAGAAAAGGAUUUUCUCAGAGAAUAAUUUGACUUCCUAUAUAAGUUUACGAUAAAACGUGAGAAACAGGCAUUUAUCUAUAUAUACUCGUGUUCAUUGGACCAUUCUCCGAUUUCUGUCAGACAAGGCGGUGCCUUCACAUAGUGUCCCAUACGCAAAGCAGGACAUCUCGAACAAGAAGCCUACACGAACGGGCGAUUCGGAAUUAGAUGUUAUCUUUGAUGAGCCGUGUGCUUCGGGGUCCCAAGCGCACAUGGAAAGGGCCUCUCUUUCUCUCUCUCUCUCUCUUUCUAUGCGAGACUCGCGCCGCCAAUCGCCGCGAGAUACAGAUCUUCUUGGCGCCACCGUCAGGCUCCAUAAGGACCUCGUAAGUCCUCCUCUCAGUUCCCAACUAAACCAAAUAACCAAAGAUAUACUUUGAAACCCUUAAAUGCGGUUAAAGCGUAACCGAUACCCCAACGGGGGGUCCUUUUAAUUCUUUUGCAGCCUUAAAAGAAAUUUUUUUUUUUCAAAAAACAUCCCCUUCAAUUUCAAAAAUAGAUU